This 176-nucleotide ribosomal RNA is filed under the name Acer pictum subsp. mono. RNAcentral describes it as "5.8S ribosomal RNA". The stretch from base 17 to 172 matches the Rfam family "5.8S ribosomal RNA". From Rfam's summary of the family: 5.8S ribosomal RNA (5.8S rRNA) is a component of the large subunit of the eukaryotic ribosome. It is transcribed by RNA polymerase I as part of the 45S precursor that also contains 18S and 28S rRNA. RNAcentral also lists the same sequence under 2 other names. The record is from RNAcentral. Lineage: Eukaryota; Viridiplantae; Streptophyta; Magnoliopsida; Sapindales; Sapindaceae.
UUCCAUUAUUUAAAACGACUCUCGGCAACGGAUAUCUCGGCUCUCGCAUCGAUGAAGAACGUAGCGAAAUGCGAUACUUGGUGUGAAUUGCAGAAUCCCGUGAACCAUCGAGUCUUUGAACGCAAGUUGCGCCCCAAGCCGUUAGGCCGAGGGCACGCCUGCCUGGGUGUCACGCA